This 402-nucleotide ribosomal RNA is filed under the name uncultured bacterium. Its description in RNAcentral is "bacterial SSU rRNA". It matches the Rfam family "Bacterial small subunit ribosomal RNA", at positions 28 to 429 of the family's 1533-position model. The record is from RNAcentral.
GACGAACGCUGGCGGCGUGCCUAACACAUGCAAGUCGAACGGAGUGAGAUCCUUCGGGGUUUCGCUUAGUGGCGAACGGGUGAGUAACGCGUGAGAAACCUGCCUUUCAGUGGGGGACAACAGUUGGAAACGACUGCUAAUACCGCAUAACGUAUAUUAGGGGCAUCCCUGAUAUACCAAAGCUUUAUGUGCUGAAAGAUGGUCUCGCGUCUGAUUAGCUAGAUGGCGGGGUAACGGCCCACCAUGGCGACGAUCAGUAGCCGGUCUGAGAGGAUGAACGGCCACAUUGGGACUGAGAUACGGCCCAGACUCCUACGGGAGGCAGCAGUGGGGAAUAUUGGGGCAAUGGGGGAAACCCUGACCCAGCAACGCCGCGUGAAGGAAGAAGGCCUCGGUUGUAAC